CCACAUGGACUAGCCAAUAGUUGCAACAAGAUAUAAACUGAAAUAGGGACUCUUUCAUCCCUUGGUCUACAAAUCUUUUAAAGAAUUUCCAGUAUUUUGAAAAUUUGGGAUUUAACAUUGCUAUGUUAAAACUUUAAAGUAUGCAUUUAAACAUUGAAAUAUGUCCUAAAUACUUUCAUCUGCGCAUGCUAAAUAUUUAUCUUCUUAAAUGUGAAUCAAGAUAAUAUCCAAAGCUUACCAUAAGUAAACAAGUAAAACAAUUAUGAAAGGUUACCUUUUAAAGCACUUUUCACGAAUCACAAAAGUUACGAAUGUACUUUAAUCAAAGUUGCAUAAAAGUAAACAUAUAAAAAAAUCACUCACACUAGUUUCGUUUUGAUGAAAUCAUCAUGAAAUUAAUAGAUUUAAAGUGUUAAUAACCUACUUAAGUAAAUGCUUACAAGUUAAGUAGAAAACUCAAUUUUUCUAAAGAAAAGAGAGGAAUACAUUUUUUUUUUCAAAUCACUUUUGAGUAGGGUAUUCUUACCCCUAUCCAAGUUCAAUAAUAUCCGAUAUUUGGACCCAAAUAUUCUCUGCAAUAAAUCUGAAUUUUUCAGUUUUUGGAUAAAAGACUGAAUUUUCGAGCUUUCUUUCAUCAAACGAUGGAAGAAUACCCUAGAUAGAUUAUAGCUCAUCAACACUCUUUAAUUUGACUCAAAAUGUGAAUAAUUUUAAAGAAGACAAUAAGAAUACGUUGCCGAAUUUUCUGCCUUAACAAAAUUAAAAUUUUGAAGAAUAUGAAACAAUAUAAACUUGAAAGAUGACUUUGAAA
Molecule: long non-coding RNA, 811 nt
Filed under: Olea europaea subsp. europaea
Lineage: Eukaryota; Viridiplantae; Streptophyta; Magnoliopsida; Lamiales; Oleaceae
Source: RNAcentral